Molecule: ribosomal RNA, 434 nt
Filed under: uncultured Clostridium sp.
Lineage: Bacteria; Bacillati; Bacillota; Clostridia; Eubacteriales; Clostridiaceae
Description: partial 16S ribosomal RNA
Rfam family: Bacterial small subunit ribosomal RNA
Source: RNAcentral
ACGGAAGGCAGCAGUGGGGGAUAUUGCACAAUGGGGGAAACCCUGAUGCAGCGACGCCGCGUGAGUGAUGAAGUAUUUCGGUAUGUAAAGCUCUAUCAGCAGGAAAGAUAAUGACGGUACCUGACUAAGAAGCACCGGCUAAAUACGUGCCAGCAGCCGCGGUAAUACGUAUGGUGCAAGCGUUAUCCGGAUUUACUGGGUGUAAAGGGAGCGCAGACGGCAUGGCAAGCCAGAUGUGAAAGGCAGGGGCUCAACUCCUGGACUGCAUUUGGAACUGUCAAGCUAGAGUAUCGGAGAGGUAAGUGGAAUUCCUAGUGUAGCGGUGAAACGCGUAGAUAUUAGGAGGAACACCAGUGGCGAAGGCGGCUUACUGGACGAUAACUGACGUUGAGGCUCGAAAGCGUGGGGAGCAAACAGGAUUAGAUACCCUGGUA